GACGUAGGGCGCGAGCGUUGUCCGGAUUUAUUGGGCGUAAAGAGCUCGUAGGCGGCUUGUCGCGUCGACCGUGAAAACUUGGGGCUCAACCCCAAGCCUGCGGUCGAUACGGGCAGGCUCGAGUUCGGUAGGGGAGACUGGAAUUCCUGGUGUAGCGGUGAAAUGCGCAGAUAUCAGGAGGAACACCGGUGGCGAAGGCGGGUCUCUGGGCCGAUACUGACGCUGAGGCGCGAAAGCUAGGGGAGCAAACAGG
RNAcentral lists this ribosomal RNA (253 nucleotides) under uncultured bacterium. RNAcentral describes it as "partial 16S ribosomal RNA". It matches the Rfam family "Bacterial small subunit ribosomal RNA", at positions 524 to 776 of the family's 1533-position model. The record is from RNAcentral.